RNAcentral lists this small nucleolar RNA (112 nucleotides) under Echinops telfairi (small Madagascar hedgehog). Its description in RNAcentral is "Small nucleolar RNA SNORA61 (ENSETEG00000025639.1)". The record is from RNAcentral. Lineage: Eukaryota; Metazoa; Chordata; Mammalia; Afrosoricida; Tenrecidae.
AGUCUCCAAAUUCCUUAACCCUCAGAUCUAAAUAUUGGUCUGAGUGACUUAAAAAGGGGAGAAGUAAAACUGAAGUGGACGUCAGACGCAUACAAGUUCAUCCCCAACACAA